CUCUAAGGCUAAAUACUCGUGAUCGACCGAUAGUGAACCAGUACCGUGAGGGAAAGGUGAAAAGAACCGUGAAUAACGGAGUGAAAUAGAUCCUGAAACCAUACGCUUACAAGCGGUCGGAGCCCAUAUGGGUGACGGCGUGCCUUUUGCAUAAUGAGCCUACGAGUUACUCCUCUCUAGCAAGGUUAAGGAUUUAAGGUCCGUAGCCGGAGCGAAAGCGAGUCUGAAUAGGGCGUUCAGUUCGUAGGAUUAGACCCGAAACCGGGUGAUCUAGCCAUGGGCAGGUUGAAGGUACGGUAACACGUACUGAAGGACCGAACCCACGUCUGUUGAA
This 334-nucleotide ribosomal RNA is filed under the name Oxyrrhis marina. RNAcentral describes it as "partial Bacterial large subunit ribosomal RNA". It matches the Rfam family "Bacterial large subunit ribosomal RNA", at positions 458 to 793 of the family's 2925-position model. Lineage: Eukaryota; Dinophyceae; Oxyrrhinales; Oxyrrhinaceae. The record is from RNAcentral.